GCCUAAAGAGAAGCUUGCGGCUGAUUAGCUUGUUGGUGAGGUAAUGGCUCACCAAGGCGACGAUCAGUAUCUGGUUUGAGAGGACGAUCAGACACACUGGAACUGAGACACGGUCCAGACUCCUACGGGAGGCAGCAGUGGGGAAUUUUCCGCAAUGGGCGAAAGCCUGACGGAGCAAUACCGCGUGAGGGAUGACGGCCUAUGGGUUGUAAACCUCUUUUUUCAGGGAGGAAUCAAUGACGUGUACCUGAAGAAUAAGCAUCGGCUAACUCCGUGCCAGCAGCCGCGGUAAGACGGAGGAUGCAAGUGUUAUCCGGAAUCACUGGGCGUAAAGCGUCUGUAGGUGGUCAAAUAAGUCAACUGUUAAAUCUUGAGGCUCAACCUCAAAAUCGCAGUCGAAACUAUUAGACUAGAGUAUAGUAGGGGUAAAGGGAAUUUCCAGUGGAGCGGUGAAAUGCGUAGAGAUUG
This 468-nucleotide ribosomal RNA is filed under the name uncultured diatom. RNAcentral describes it as "SSU rRNA". It matches the Rfam family "Bacterial small subunit ribosomal RNA", at positions 217 to 699 of the family's 1533-position model. The record is from RNAcentral. Lineage: Eukaryota; Bacillariophyta.